RNAcentral lists this ribosomal RNA (271 nucleotides) under uncultured bacterium. RNAcentral describes it as "partial 16S ribosomal RNA". It matches the Rfam family "Bacterial small subunit ribosomal RNA", at positions 29 to 291 of the family's 1533-position model. The record is from RNAcentral.
AAUGAACGCUGGCGGCGCGCCUAAUACAUGCAAGUCGAGCGAGAAGACGUAGCAAUACGUUUGUAAAGCGGCGAACGGGUGAGGAAUACAUGGGUAACCUACCCUCGAGUGGGGAAUAACUAGCCGAAAGGUUAGCUAAUACCGCGUACGCUUCUUGGACUUCGGUUCAGGGAGGAAAGCGAUACCGUGGGUAUCGCGCUCUUGGAUGGGCUCAUGUCCUAUCAGCUUGUUGGGAGGUAACGGCUCACCAAGGCUUCGACGGGUAGCGGUC